AAGGGAGUAGCCGAUAACUGUUUGAUUAGAAUGCCACAGUACACUAGAUUAAGAAUGGACACCAGCCAAAACACAACCUAUCAGACUGACACCGCAAUGGUGACAUGUAAUCUACUGAUAAACACUAGGGGAGUGCACAGCUAAUGCUUUGGAGUGCCAGAUAUAAAACUACAUGUGACCUCCUUUCACAUACGGCGAUGAUCCGAGAUAGGAGCCUCAGCGCUGAUCUCUGUAAUCAUUCCUCUGCUUAAUUUAGAAUAAAAGAGCAGAAAGUUAGAAGCUGUUUGAGAAUCGUCCUUUAAGCCAGUGUUAGAUAGAGAGUGUGAUCACUUCUGGGGACCAAGGACCGGAGGAACUCCGAGAGGUCUGACCGGCAGCAGGGUGCAGUAGUUCGGACAGAAAGCCGGGGACGAGAUGAUUUAAACGAAGCAGAAAGUAAUCAAAGGAAGCGAUACAUUUAGACAGCCUCGGGAGAUGGUAAAAUGAAAGAACCAGAUAAUAAGCUGCCUCGGUAGGACAAGCUAGGCCGGGCGUUAGCAAGGGCGAACGGCGGUGGGAAGAGCCGAGGAGCAGGCAGCUACGCUGGAGUGGGAAGAGGAAAUACUGAUGUGGCCGAGAUGGCGGCGAACUCACAGCAGGAUGAUCGAUUUGAGGGAUGAAGAUGGAAGGAGAAACUGCUGGAGAAACUAGCCCGGGUGACGCAGCGGCGGGAGCCGGUGAGGAGGCAAGGCCACCUCGGCCAGACUUAGCAGGAGAAGUGUAGGAGUUCUUGAUGCGCUUUCCGCUUGCCCAGAGCUGAGACAAGGAAGAAAUGGGCCAUGAAGCGAGGCAAGCGAUCCUAGGAGCGGUAGGGGAGGAAGGAGAGUCUGUUACGAACAGUGCGAGGAGGCGUCGGAGUCGUAGAUGAGCUCAGCUGACAAGCGAGGAUGAACACGGUAGAAGCUCCUUUACAAGCAAGGCAUCGGAAGGUGAUUGGAUGGAAAAUUAGAUGGACAGGAUGCUGAUUGGAAGGCCGGGAGACGCACCGAAGAGUCAUUGGAGGGUGGAGGCGGUGAAGAAACCCACAUUAUGACAGAAGGAACCAGCCUACGGGAGGAAUGGUGAGGGAAUUCAAGAGGGGAGUGGUUCUGGCCAAAUUAUUUUUUCACCUGGUGACCUCUCCCAACUCACCAUGGAGAAGGCUGGAAAUAGCUGGCAGCCUCCAAGACUGGCUCGAGGCGAGGAGGGAUUUUUUCUCUGAUCCGUGGAUUCACCACACCAUCGAGGCCGAGUGACAAAGGGCCCUAGAUGAAAUCGCCGCAUCUAUGAGGAGAUCUCCUGCUCCCUCCUCCACCCGCCUCUCCACUGAAGCUCAACACAGUUUUGGCUUUGCUCCUGAUCAGCCACCACCGCUGCUCCCGACUCAUAAUCCUGUUACUGGUCCAGUUCCGGGGGGGUUCUUGGAUGAACUGCCUCCACACCCCGAUCCUGUUUCUGGUCCUGUGAGGGGUUUGUGGAUGGACUGCCUCCAUCCCUGGUUCCCGUUCCAGAGGAGUUCGUGGAGGACCUGUCUCCACUUCCUGUUCCUGUCCCUGAGGGGUGCGAGGACGCACCCUCUGCUGUGUCUCAGUGGCUCCACUGCAGAUCUCCACGGCCUCGCCGAAGGUCCCAGCGGUCUCCGCACCACGCCUCUGAGCUCCACCGUGGGUUCUCCUGGUCCCGCCGUCCCGGCCGUCAGAUCAUCGGCUCCUACAUCACUGGCCUGCUCAGCUCCUACGUCGACGGCCUGCUGAUCGCCGGAUCUGCCGGGGACGGCCUCUGGGCCGGCCGCCUGAACUCUGGGUCAGCCGGGGACGGCCUCCGGGCCAGCCGCCUGAACUUUUGCCCUCCUUCCAAGGCCCCCUCCGCCCGCCCUGGUUGGAUGUUUGUUUUGUUUUUGUUUUGUGGGUGUCUGGGAUCCGCCCUUAAAGGGAGGGGCUAUGUCAUACCCGCUUGUGUUUUGAGUUCUUGAGUUUGUGUUUUUCUUAUUUUGCCUGGUCUAGUCCUUUGUUUUCUGUCCCCUGCACCCCAAGCCCGCACCUGUUCUGUUUUCCCCUAAUUGUCUGGUCACGUGUGUCAUUGGUUCCCCCUGCUGUCCAGUUUUGUAUUUAAGCCCGUUUGUUUCCUUUGUUCCCUGCUGGUUCCUUAUAUGUUGUUUGUGUUUGUGUGGUUGCCUGGUGCCCUGUCCGUGUCCAGCCAUGAGCAAUAAAGUGUCGUCUUACCUGCAAA
Long non-coding RNA from Girardinichthys multiradiatus, 2247 nucleotides. RefSeq lists it as uncharacterized. The record is from RefSeq and is a predicted model, not a curated record. The transcript has 3 exons. Lineage: Eukaryota; Metazoa; Chordata; Actinopteri; Cyprinodontiformes; Goodeidae.